This 1024-nucleotide long non-coding RNA is filed under the name Sinocyclocheilus grahami. RNAcentral's name for it is "lncRNA (ENSSGRG00000045522.1)". The record is from RNAcentral. Lineage: Eukaryota; Metazoa; Chordata; Actinopteri; Cypriniformes; Cyprinidae.
CGUUAAUUGGCGAAAAAUGUAAAAUGGCGUCUGUCGAAUAAGACAGUAUAUGGAGGAAGACAGCAAGUCUACUAAGAUGCCUUCAUCUUCAUUUUGAAGGCCACCGAUGCAUUCUUGCCAGUGUUAUCCUACAAUCCUCAACACAUAUGGCUCAGCAGUUGGAGAAAAUGUCAGUUAAAAGAGGAUUCUUUAAGAAGGUCGCAGCAAAUGAACACCUCAGAUGGCUGUGACUCAUGCAGGCCAUAGCGAGUGCCAGGUCGAGAGAUUGAGGCUGAAGUUGACGGUGCCUGUGCUCUUGGUACAACGUGAAACUGAAGCAAAGAGGAGGCAUGUGACACAAGCUAAACCCGGAGAACUCCAGAGUUUAGUCGCUCCACGUGGCUUAAACAAGCAACUCGAGGGCGUGCAGCCAUUUUGGGGCUCGGUUGGUGAGUUCCGUCCAAAGAAAGAGAAGCAUUGCCGGGGGCAGGAAUCAGAGCGGCGCUCACCAAAAGCAGCCUGGCUGAUGUGACUGGGACACUGUCAAAAGGUUGGUAAAGGAAUCCAUUGUCUCUGUGACAAGUGGACUGGCUCUAUUGACAGUACAGUUGACGGGAGAAGGGAGGAGGGUGGUAAAGAUAAGGGCACAAUGCCUGGUUUUCUAGUUGAAACUUGAAGCCAUUUGUGCUUUCUCUUUCUGUUCCUCUGUUCCCUGUUUUCCAGACAAACUGAGAGGAGACCAUUCUGAGUUUGAUUAGAAGCCAGCAGCAAUGGCAUUCAUUAAUCCUCACACACCUUGUCGUGUCCAACUUCAAUGCUACCUUCACACUAAACAGUCAAGGUAUGCUAACCAUUCAAUUAAGUUACCGAGAAGCGUCACAUCAAUAUUAUUAACAUACACCUAUGGAAUGUACUCUAAGAUCAUUCUUUUAUUCCACUUUUAAGGACAUUCUGUAAUUGAAUGUGGUUUAGUGCUUAUUAUAACUACGCCAAGAUAGAUGUUUCACUGCUAAGCUGCACUGUAAAAAAAAUUCCGUAAAAUUUA